RNAcentral lists this ribosomal RNA (509 nucleotides) under uncultured bacterium. Its description in RNAcentral is "partial 16S ribosomal RNA". It matches the Rfam family "Bacterial small subunit ribosomal RNA", at positions 355 to 877 of the family's 1533-position model. The record is from RNAcentral.
UGGGGAAUAUUGCACAAUGGGCGAAAGCCUGAUGCAGCAACGCCGCGUGAGUGAUGAAGGUCUUCGGAUUGUAAAGCUCUGUCUUUUGGGACGAUAAUGACGGUACCAAAGGAGGAAGCCACGGCUAACUACGUGCCAGCAGCCGCGGUAAUACGUAGGUGGCGAGCGUUGUCCGGAUUUACUGGGCGUAAAGGGUGCGUAGGCGGAUGUUUAAGUGAGAUGUGAAAUACCCGGGCUUAACUUGGGUGCUGCAUUUCAAACUGGAUAUCUAGAGUGCAGGAGAGGAGAAUGGAAUUCCUAGUNUAGCGGUGAAAUGCGUAGAGAUUAGGAAGAACACCAGUGGCGAAGGCGAUUCUCUGGACUGUAACUGACGCUGAGGCACGAAAAGCGUGGGUAGCAAACAGGAUUAGAUACCCUGGUAGUCCACGCCGUAAAACGAUGAGUACUAGGUGUAGGAGGUAUCGACCCCUUCUGUGCCGCAGUAAAACACAUUAAGUACUCCGCCUGGG